This 65-nucleotide transfer RNA is filed under the name Choristoneura occidentalis biennis. RNAcentral's name for it is "tRNA-Ile". The record is from RNAcentral. Lineage: Eukaryota; Metazoa; Arthropoda; Insecta; Lepidoptera; Tortricidae.
AAUAAAGUGCCUGAUAAAAAGGAUUAUUCUGAUAGGGUAAAUUAUGUAGAAUUCUACCUUUAUUA